GUGGGGAAUUUUGGACAAUGGGCGCAAGCCUGAUCCAGCAAUGCCGCGUGCAGGAAGAAGGCCUUCGGGUUGUAAACUGCUUUUGUACGGAACGAAACGGUCCUGGUUAAUACCUGGGGCUAAUGACGGUACCGUAAGAAUAAGCACCGGCUAACUACGUGCCAGCAGCCGCGGUAAUACGUAGGGUGCAAGCGUUAAUCGGAAUUACUGGGCGUAAAGCGUGCGCAGGCGGUUUUGUAAGACAGUGGUGAAAUCCCCGGGCUCAACCUGGGAACUGCCAUUGUGACUGCAAAGCUAGAGUGCGGCAGAGGGGGAUGGAAUUCCGCGUGUAGCAGUGAAAUGCGUAGAUAUGCGGAGGAACACCGAUGGCGAAGGCAAUCCCCUGGGCGUGCACUGACGCUCAUGCACGAAAGCGUGGGGAGCAAACAGGAUUAGAUACCCGUGUAGUCC
RNAcentral lists this ribosomal RNA (450 nucleotides) under uncultured bacterium. RNAcentral's name for it is "partial 16S ribosomal RNA". It matches the Rfam family "Bacterial small subunit ribosomal RNA", at positions 354 to 796 of the family's 1533-position model. The record is from RNAcentral.